UGGGGAAUAUUGGACAAUGGGGGCGACCCUGAUCCAGCCAUGCCGCGUGAGUGAUGAAGGCCCUAGGGUUGUAAAGCUCUUUUGUGCGGGAAGAUAAUGACGGUACCGCAAGAAUAAGCCCCGGCUAACUUCGUGCCAGCAGCCGCGGUAAUACGAAGGGGGCUAGCGUUGCUCGGAAUCACUGGGCGUAAAGGGUGCGUAGGCGGGUCUUUAAGUCAGGGGUGAAAUCCUGGAGCUCAACUCCAGAACUGCCUUUGAUACUGAGGAUCUUGAGUCCGGAAGAGGUGAGUGGAACUGCGAGUGUAGAGGUGAAAUUCGUAGAUAUUCGCAAGAACACCAGUGGCGAAGGCGGCUCACUGGUCCGGUACUGACGCUGAGGCACGAAAGCGUGGGGAGCAAACA
Molecule: ribosomal RNA, 402 nt
Filed under: uncultured bacterium
Lineage: Bacteria
Description: bacterial SSU rRNA
Rfam family: Bacterial small subunit ribosomal RNA
Source: RNAcentral